This 253-nucleotide ribosomal RNA is filed under the name uncultured bacterium. RNAcentral describes it as "partial 16S ribosomal RNA". It matches the Rfam family "Bacterial small subunit ribosomal RNA", at positions 524 to 776 of the family's 1533-position model. The record is from RNAcentral.
UACGAAGGGUGCAAACGUUGCUCGGAAUCACUGGGCGUAAAGCGCACGUAGGCGGACUCUUAAGUCGGUGGUGAAAUCCUGGAGCUCAACUCCAGAACUGCCUUCGAUACUGAGAGUCUUGAGUCCGGGAGAGGUGAGUGGAACUGCGAGUGUAGAGGUGAAAUUCGUAGAUAUUCGCAAGAACACCAGUGGCGAAGGCGGCUACCUGGACCGGCUCUGACGCUGAUGCGCGAAAGCGUGGGUAGCAAACAGG